Molecule: ribosomal RNA, 772 nt
Filed under: Coolia palmyrensis
Lineage: Eukaryota; Dinophyceae; Peridiniales; Ostreopsidaceae
Description: partial large subunit ribosomal RNA
Rfam family: Eukaryotic large subunit ribosomal RNA
Source: RNAcentral
CUUUGAAAAUUGUGGUCUGUGAUCAUGAAUUGUAAUUUCAAAAUGCAUUGCUAACAAAAAUGCAAAUGGUUGUUUUUUGGAAAGAACAUAACAAAGGGUGAAAAUCCCAUGUGUCAUUUGUCUUUUUUGUGUACGGUGUGCAUUUAAUGAAUCACAUUCUUUGACACUGGAAUGUCAACUGGGUGGUAAAUUUCAUUUAAAGUUGAAUAUGGUGUUGAAACUUAUAGAAAACAAAUACCAUGAGGGAAAUAUGAAAAGGAUUUUGAAAAGAAAAUUAAAAGAGUCUGCAAUUGCUAAAUUGAUAAGCAAACAAAACAUAUGUGUUUGCAAAAUUGUUGUUGUCAUUUGUUUUGAGACAAAUGUUUUGCAAUGGUUUUUGUGUACUUUGCCAAUAUCCAAAUUUGGAAUGAUUACCGUUGGGUAUGAAUGGAAUUUUGUUUGCUUGCAAAGGAAUGUAUUCUGAAGAAUUAUCCUUAAUUUGAUAAUUUGUUUUGUGACAUACGCAUUGUUUGUUUGAACAGCAUUGUUGGAACAAUCGCGCAAUGCUGUGAUUAAUUCACAUGGGCAUGAAUGUUUUGCUUGACCCGUCUUGAAACACGGACCAAGGAGUUUAAUUUGUGUGCAAGUUUAUGAAUGUUACAUUUGUAAAGCAAUGAAAGUACUUUGCUGGGAUAUUUGCACCAGCAACCGAUUAGUUGUUGGACAUAAUUUUGAGUUUGAGCAUAUCAAUUAAGACCCGAAAGAUGGUGAACUAUGCCUGAACAGAAUGAAA